GAACGCACAUUGCGCCCCUUGGUAUUCCGAGGGGCAUGCCUGUUCGAGCGUCAUUUCAACCCUCAAGCACAGCUUGGUCUUGGGCCGCGCCGCUAACCCGGCGGGUCUUAAAAUCAGUGGCGGUGCCGUCGGGCCCUGAGCGUAGUACGUCUCCUCGCUAUAGGGUCCCGGCGGAUGCUGGCCAGCAACCCCCAAUCUUCUAUGGUUGACCUCGGAUCAGGUAGGGAUACCCGCUGAACUUAAG
RNAcentral lists this unclassified non-coding RNA (244 nucleotides) under uncultured Hyaloscyphaceae. Its description in RNAcentral is "sequence contains 5.8S rRNA gene". The stretch from base 1 to 53 matches the Rfam family "5.8S ribosomal RNA", at positions 102 to 154 of the family's 154-position model. The record is from RNAcentral. Lineage: Eukaryota; Fungi; Ascomycota; Leotiomycetes; Helotiales.